AUUGAACGCUGGCGGCAUGCUUUACACAUGCAAGUCGAACGGGCUUAGGUGCUUGCACCUAAGUUAGUGGCGAACGGGUGAGUAAUGCAUCGGAACGUACCGUGUAGUGGGGGAUAACCCGGCGAAAGUCGGAUUAAUACCGCAUACGAUCUAAGGAUGAAAGCAGGGGAUCGCAAGACCUUGCGCUAUACGAGCGGCCGAUGUCGGAUUAGCUAGUUGGUAGGGUAAAGGCCUACCAAGGCAACGAUCCGUAGCGGGUCUGAGAGGAUGAUCCGCCACACUGGGACUGAGACACGGCCCAGACUCCUACGGGAGGCAGCAGUGGGGAAUUUUGGACAAUGGGCGAAAGCCUGAUCCAGCCAUGCCGCGUGAGUGAAGAAGGCCUUCGGGUUGUAAAGCUCUUUUGUCCGGGAGCAAAUCCUGUUCACUAAUACUGAGCGGGGCUGAGAGUACCGGAAGAAUAAGCACCGGCUAACUACGUGCCAGCAGCCGCAGUAA
This 498-nucleotide ribosomal RNA is filed under the name uncultured bacterium. RNAcentral's name for it is "partial 16S ribosomal RNA". It matches the Rfam family "Bacterial small subunit ribosomal RNA", at positions 30 to 523 of the family's 1533-position model. The record is from RNAcentral.